GACGAACGCUGGCGGCGUGCUUAACACAUGCCAGUCGAACGGAAAGGCCCUGCUUUUGUGGGGUGCUCGAGUGGCGAACGGGUGAGUAACACGUGAGUAACCUGCCCUUGACUUUGGGAUAACUUCAGGAAACUGGGGCUAAUACCGGAUAGGAGCUCCUGCUGCAUGGUGGGGGUUGGAAAGUUUCGGCGGUUGGGGAUGGACUCGCGGCUUAUCAGCUUGUUGGUGGGGUAGUGGCUUACCAAGGCUUUGACGGGCAGCCGGCCUGAGAGGGUGACCGGCCACAUUGGGACUGAGAUACGGCCCAGACUGCUACGGGAGGCAGCAGUGGGGAAUAUUGCACAAUGGGCGGAAGCCUGAUGCAGCAACGCCGCGUGCGGGAUGACGGCCUUCGGGUUGUAGACCGCUUUCGCCUGUGACGAAGCGUGAGUGACGGUAAUGGGUAAAGAAGCACCGGCUAACUACGUG
Molecule: ribosomal RNA, 468 nt
Filed under: uncultured bacterium
Lineage: Bacteria
Description: partial 16S ribosomal RNA
Rfam family: Bacterial small subunit ribosomal RNA
Source: RNAcentral